RNAcentral lists this ribosomal RNA (515 nucleotides) under uncultured bacterium. RNAcentral's name for it is "bacterial SSU rRNA". It matches the Rfam family "Bacterial small subunit ribosomal RNA", at positions 30 to 528 of the family's 1533-position model. The record is from RNAcentral.
AUUGAACGCUGGCGGCAUGCCUUACACAUGCAAGUCGAACGGUAACAGGUCUUCGGAUGCUGACGAGUGGCGAACGGGUGAGUAAUACAUCGGAACGUGCCCGAUCGUGGGGGAUAACGGAGCGAAAGCUUUGCUAAUACCGCAUACGAUCUACGGAUGAAAGCAGGGGACCGCAAGGCCUUGCGCGGACGGAGCGGCCGAUGGCAGAUUAGGUAGUUGGUGGGAUAAAAGCUUACCAAGCCGACGAUCUGUAGCUGGUCUGAGAGGACGACCAGCCACACUGGGACUGAGACACGGCCCAGACUCCUACGGGAGGCAGCAGUGGGGAAUUUUGGACAAUGGGCGCAAGCCUGAUCCAGCCAUGCCGCGUGCAGGAUGAAGGCCUUCGGGUUGUAAACUGCUUUUGUACGGAACGAAAGAACUCUUUUCAAUUAAAGAGGGUACCUAGUGACGGUAACCGUAAGAAGUAAGACGACCGACUAACUAACGUGCCGAGCGAGCCGACGGUUAAACGG